GAUGAACGCUGGCGGCGUGCCUAAUACAUGCAAGUAGAACGCUGAAGGAGGAGCUUGCUCUUCUGGAUGAGUUGCGAACGGGUGAGUAACGCGUAGGUAACCUGCCUGGUAGCGGGGGAUAACUAUUGGAAACGAUAGCUAAUACCGCAUGACAACAGUUAUUGCAUGAUAACUGUUUAAAAGGGGCAACUGCUCCGCUACCAGAUGGACCUGCGUUGUAUUAGCUAGUUGGUGAGGUAACGGCUCACCAAGGCGACGAUACAUAGCCGACCUGAGAGGGUGAUCGGCCACACUGGGACUGAGACACGGCCCAGACUCCUACGGGAGGCAGCAGUAGGGAAUCUUCGGCAAGGGACGGAAGUCUGACCGAGCAACGCCGCGUGAGUGAAGAAGGUUGUCGGAUCGUAAAGCUCGGUUGUAAGAGAAGAACGAGUGUGAGAGUGGAAAGUUCACACUGUGACGGUAUCUUACCAGAAAGGGACGGCUAACUACGUG
Molecule: ribosomal RNA, 495 nt
Filed under: uncultured bacterium
Lineage: Bacteria
Description: partial 16S ribosomal RNA
Rfam family: Bacterial small subunit ribosomal RNA
Source: RNAcentral